This 487-nucleotide ribosomal RNA is filed under the name uncultured bacterium. RNAcentral's name for it is "bacterial SSU rRNA". It matches the Rfam family "Bacterial small subunit ribosomal RNA", at positions 1 to 507 of the family's 1533-position model. The record is from RNAcentral.
UAUCGCGACGUAGUUUGAUCAGUGGCUCGAGGACGACGCUGGCGGCGUGCCUAACACAUGCAAGUCGAACGGGGUAAUUCUUCGGAGGUUACUUAGUGGCGAACGGGUGAGUAACGCGUGAGGAACCUGCCUCUCAGUGGGGGACAACAGUUGGAAACGACUGCUAAUACCGCAUAAAACCGUAGUACUGCAUGGUACAUCGGUCAAAGAUUUAUUGCUGAGAGAUGGCCUCGCGUCUGAUUAGCUAGUUGGUGGGUAACGGCCCACCAAGGCGACGAUCGUUAGCCGGACUGAGAGGUUGAACGGCCACAUUGGGACUGAGACACGGCCCAGACUCCUACGGGAGGCAGCAGUGAGGAAUAUUGGGCAAUGGGCGCAAGCCUGACCCAGCAAUGCCGCGUGAAGGAAGACGGUUUUCGGAUUGUAAACUUCUUUAAGAGGGACGAUAAUGACGGUACCUCUUGAAUAAGCCACGGCUAACUACGUG